RNAcentral lists this ribosomal RNA (497 nucleotides) under uncultured bacterium. RNAcentral's name for it is "partial 16S ribosomal RNA". It matches the Rfam family "Bacterial small subunit ribosomal RNA", at positions 28 to 507 of the family's 1533-position model. The record is from RNAcentral.
GAUGAACGCUGGCGGCGUGCCUAAUACAUGCAAGUCGAGCGAACAGAUGAGGAGCUUGCUCCUCUGACGUUAGCGGCGGACGGGUGAGUAACACGUGGAUAACCUACCUAUAAGACUGGGAUAACUUCGGGAAACCGGAGCUAAUACCGGAUAAUAUAUUGAACCGCAUGGUUCAAUAGUGAAAGACGGUUUUGCUGUCACUUAUAGAUGGAUCCGCGCCACAUUAGCUAGUUGGUAAGGUAACGGCUUACCAAGGCGACGAUGCGUAGCCGACCUGAGAGGGUGAUCGGCCACACUGGAACUGAGACACGGUCCAGACUCCUACGGGAGGCAGCAGUAGGGAAUCUUCCGCAAUGGGCGAAAGCCUGACGGAGCAACGCCGCGUGAGUGAUGAAGGUCUUCGGAUCGUAAAACUCUGUUAUUAGGGAAGAACAAAUGUGUAAGUAACUAUGCACGUCUUGACGGUACCUAAUCAGAAAGCCACGGCUAACUACGUG